GUAGGUGGCAAGCGUUGUCCGGAAUUAUUGGGCGUAAAGCGCGCGCAGGCGGUCCUUUAAGUCUGAUGUGAAAGCCCACGGCUCAACCGUGGAGGGUCAUUGGAAACUGGGGGACUUGAGUACAGAAGAGGAAAGCGGAAUUCCAAGUGUAGCGGUGAAAUGCGUAGAGAUUUGGAGGAACACCAGUGGCGAAGGCGGCUUUCUGGUCUGUAACUGACGCUGAGGCGCGAAAGCGUGGGGAGCAAACAGGGAUUAGAUACCCUGGUAGUCCACGCCGUAAACGAUGAGUGCUAAGUGUUAGGGGGGGUUUUCCCGGCCCCCCGUUUAGUGCUGCAGCUAAACGCAAUUAAGCACUCCGCCUGGGGGAGUACGGCCGCAAGGCUG
This 384-nucleotide ribosomal RNA is filed under the name uncultured organism. RNAcentral's name for it is "partial 16S ribosomal RNA". It matches the Rfam family "Bacterial small subunit ribosomal RNA", at positions 527 to 896 of the family's 1533-position model. The record is from RNAcentral.